GCCCAGGUGGUGGAAUGGUAGACACGCUACUUUGAGGGGGUAGUGCCAGAAAUGGUGUGCAGGUUCGACUCUUGUCCUGGGCA
RNAcentral lists this transfer RNA (83 nucleotides) under Bacteroidales bacterium. RNAcentral's name for it is "tRNA-Leu". It matches the Rfam family "tRNA". Rfam says of the family: Transfer RNA (tRNA) molecules are approximately 80 nucleotides in length. Their secondary structure includes four short double-helical elements and three loops (D, anti-codon, and T loops). Further hydrogen bonds mediate the characteristic L-shaped molecular structure. tRNAs have two regions of fundamental functional importance: the anti-codon, which is responsible for specific mRNA codon recognition, and the 3' end, to which the tRNAs corresponding amino acid is attached (by aminoacyl-tRNA synthetases). tRNAs cope with the degeneracy of the genetic code in two manners: having more than one tRNA (with a specific anti-codon) for a particular amino acid; and 'wobble' base-pairing, i.e. permitting non-standard base-pairing at the 3rd anti-codon position. RNAcentral also lists the same sequence under 2 other names. Lineage: Bacteria; Pseudomonadati; Bacteroidota; Bacteroidia; Bacteroidales. The record is from RNAcentral.